CAUGUAGGCGGAUAUGUUAGUCAGAUGUCAAAUCUUCGAGCUUAACUCGAAAACUGCAUUUGAAACGGCAUAUCUUGAGAAAGUGAGAGACCAGUGGAACAUAUGGUGUAGCAGUGAAAUGCGUUGAUAUCAUAUGGAACACCCAAGGCGAAGGCAUCUGGUUGGCACUUUUCUGACGCUGAGAUGCGAAAGCGUGGGUAAGCGAAAA
RNAcentral lists this ribosomal RNA (208 nucleotides) under uncultured bacterium. Its description in RNAcentral is "partial 16S ribosomal RNA". It matches the Rfam family "Bacterial small subunit ribosomal RNA", at positions 568 to 774 of the family's 1533-position model. The record is from RNAcentral.